GCAAGUCGUACGCAUAUAUUUAUAUAUGAGUGGCGGACGGGUGAGUAAUGCAUAGAAAUCUACCUUACACUGGGGAAUAACUAUUAGAAAUAGUAGCUAAUACCGCAUACGCCAUAUUGGGAAAGCUUCGGCGGUGUAAGAUGAGUCUAUGUCUGAUUAGCUAGUUGGUGGGGUAAAAGCCUACCAAGGCGACGAUCAGUAGCUGGUUUGAGAGGAUGAUC
Molecule: ribosomal RNA, 221 nt
Filed under: uncultured bacterium
Lineage: Bacteria
Description: partial 16S ribosomal RNA
Rfam family: Bacterial small subunit ribosomal RNA
Source: RNAcentral